RNAcentral lists this ribosomal RNA (264 nucleotides) under Anopheles funestus (African malaria mosquito). Its description in RNAcentral is "partial 28S ribosomal RNA". It matches the Rfam family "Eukaryotic large subunit ribosomal RNA", at positions 696 to 919 of the family's 3401-position model. Lineage: Eukaryota; Metazoa; Arthropoda; Insecta; Diptera; Culicidae. The record is from RNAcentral.
UAUAUUAUAACCAUUAGACCCACAGGCGAAGACAACUCGAUUGUACGGGAUUACGGGCACGGAUAGGUGGCGCAACCCUUAUAGAACCGAGCCCUCCAUCCCAGGGUGCUCCGUCACGGGUGCUUGCCAGCGGCAUCCCAGAGUGCGCAGGAUGUGACCCGAAAGAUGGUGAACUAUGCCUUGAUCAGGUCGAAGUCAGGGGAAACCCUGAUGGAGGACCGAAGCAAUUUCUGACGUGCAAAUCGAUUGUCAGAGUUGAGCAUA